GAUGAACGCUGGCGGCGUGCCUAAUACAUGCAAGUCGAGCGAACGGACGAGAAGCUUACUUCUCUGAUGUUGGCGGCGGACGGGUGAGUAACACGUGGAUAACCUACCUAUAAGACUGGGAUAACUUCGGGAAACCGGAGCUAAUACCGGAUAAUAUUUUGAACCGCAUGGUUCAAAAGUGAAAGACGGUCUUGCUGUCACUUAUAGAUGGAUCCGCGCUGCAUUAGCUAGUUGGUAAGGUAACGGCUUACCAAGGCAACGAUGCAUAGCCGACCUGAGAGGGUGAUCGGCCACACUGGAACUGAGACACGGUCCAGACUCCUACGGGAGGCAGCAGUAGGGAAUCUUCCGCAAUGGGCGAAAGCCUGACGGAGCAACGCCGCGUGAGUGAUGAAGGUCUUCGGAUCGUAAAACUCUGUUAUUAGGGAAGAACAUAUGUGUAAGUAACUGUGCACAUCUUGACGGUACCUAAUCAGAAAGCCACGGCUAACUACGUG
This 497-nucleotide ribosomal RNA is filed under the name uncultured bacterium. RNAcentral describes it as "partial 16S ribosomal RNA". It matches the Rfam family "Bacterial small subunit ribosomal RNA", at positions 28 to 507 of the family's 1533-position model. The record is from RNAcentral.